RNAcentral lists this long non-coding RNA (251 nucleotides) under Elaeis guineensis (African oil palm). RNAcentral's name for it is "long non-coding RNA (EGUI_LNC037885)". Lineage: Eukaryota; Viridiplantae; Streptophyta; Magnoliopsida; Arecales; Arecaceae. The record is from RNAcentral.
AAGUAUAUAGAUGGUUCUUUUGGCUAGGUUAUAUAUAAGAAGAAAUGAUCUGCCGACUGGAGAAAAUGGACUUUUGGAUUCAUUGACUGUUAAGUCAUAUCUAGUCCGUGAAUCAUCUCUUUGAGGAUUAAUGAUCAAGCUAUCCUUUUGUGGAUCAAAGAGAUAGGAUCACUGAGAUACUUAUCCUAGUAUACAUACGAUGUGCAUGGCCCAUUUGAUGAGCUAGACUAAAAGGUUAUCACUACUUCAUC